AGUGAACGCUGGCGGUAGGCCUAACACAUGCAAGUCGAACGGCAGCACAGUAAGAGCUUGCUCUUACGGGUGGCGAGUGGCGGACGGGUGAGGAAUACAUCGGAAUCUACUUUUUCGUGGGGGAUAACGUAGGGAAACUUACGCUAAUACCGCAUACGACCUACGGGUGAAAGCAGGGGAUCUUCGGACCUUGCGCGAUUGAAUGAGCCGAUGUCGGAUUAGCUAGUUGGCGGGGUAAAGGCCCACCAAGGCGACGAUCCGUAGCUGGUCUGAGAGGAUGAUCAGCCACACUGGAACUGAGACACGGUCCAGACUCCUACGGUAGGCAGCAGUGCGGAAUAUUGGACAAUGGGCGCAAGCCUGAUCCAGCCAUACCGCGUGGGUGAAGAAGGCCUUCUGCUUGUAAAGCCCUUUUGUUGGGAAAGAAAAGCAGCAGGUUAAUACCCCGCUGUUCUGACGGUACCCAAAGAAUAAGCACCGGCUAACUUCGUG
This 492-nucleotide ribosomal RNA is filed under the name uncultured bacterium. Its description in RNAcentral is "partial 16S ribosomal RNA". It matches the Rfam family "Bacterial small subunit ribosomal RNA", at positions 29 to 507 of the family's 1533-position model. The record is from RNAcentral.